CGAAUGCCAAUUAAUUUAACUUGGGAGUCAGAACAUGGGUGAUAAGGUCCGUGUUCGAAAGGGAAACAGCCCAGACCACCAGCUAAGGUCCCAAAAUAUAUGUUAAGUGGAAAAGGAUGUGGCGUUGCCCAGACAACUAGGAUGUUGGCUUAGAAGCAGCCAUCAUUUAAAGAGUGCGUAAUAGCUCACUAGUCGAGUGACACUGCGCCGAAAAUGUACCGGGGCUAAACAUAUUACCGAAGCUGUGGAUUGUCCUUUGGACAAUGGUAGGAGAGCGUUCUAAGGGCGUUGAAGCAUGAUCGUAAGGACAUGUGGAGCGCUUAGAAGUGAGAAUGCCGGUGUGAGUAGCGAAAGACGGGUGAGAAUCCCGUCCACCGAUUGACUAAGGUUUCCAGAGGAAGGCUCGUCCGCUCUGGGUUAGUCGGGUCCUAAGCUGAGGCCGACAGGCGUAGGCGAUGGAUAACAGGUUGAUAUUCCUGUACCACCUAUA
This 490-nucleotide ribosomal RNA is filed under the name Staphylococcus aureus. RNAcentral describes it as "partial 23S ribosomal RNA". It matches the Rfam family "Bacterial large subunit ribosomal RNA", at positions 957 to 1452 of the family's 2925-position model. Lineage: Bacteria; Bacillati; Bacillota; Bacilli; Caryophanales; Staphylococcaceae. The record is from RNAcentral.